GACAUAGGUGGCGAACGUUAUCCGGAUUUAUUGGGCGUAAAGGGCGCGUAGGCGGCGGGGUAAGUCGGGUGUGAAAUCUCAGGGCUCAACCCUGAAACUGCACUUGAUACUGCUCUGCUUGAGGACUGGAGAGGAGACUGGAAUUCACGGUGUAGCAGUGAAAUGCGUAGAUAUCGUGAGGAAGACCAGUGGCGAAGGCGGGUCUCUGGACAGUUCCUGACGCUGAGGCGCGAAGGCCAGGGGAGCAAACGGG
This 253-nucleotide ribosomal RNA is filed under the name uncultured bacterium. Its description in RNAcentral is "partial 16S ribosomal RNA". It matches the Rfam family "Bacterial small subunit ribosomal RNA", at positions 524 to 776 of the family's 1533-position model. The record is from RNAcentral.